Molecule: ribosomal RNA, 253 nt
Filed under: uncultured bacterium
Lineage: Bacteria
Description: partial 16S ribosomal RNA
Rfam family: Bacterial small subunit ribosomal RNA
Source: RNAcentral
UACGGAGGGUGCUAGCGUUGUUCGGAAUCACUGGGCGUAAAGCGCGUGUAGGCGGUCUGCUAAGUCUGAUGUGAAAGCCCGGGGCUCACCCCCGGAAGUGCAUUGGAAACUGGCAGACUGGAGUCCCGGAGAGGAGGGUGGAAUUCCUGGUGUAGCGGUGAAAUGCGUAGAUAUCAGGAGGAAUACCGAUGGCGAAGGCAGGUCUCUGGGCUGACACUGACGCUCAUGCACGAAAGCGUGGGGAGCAAACAGG